UACGUAGGGGGCUAGCGUUGUUCGGAAUCACUGGGCGUAAAGCGCACGUAGGCGGAUUGCUAAGUCAGGGGUGAAAUCCUGGAGCUCAACUCCAGAACUGCCUUCGAUACUGGCGAUCUUGAGUCUGGGAGAGGUGAGUGGAACUCCGAGUGUAGAGGUGAAAUUCGUAGAUAUUCGGAAGAACACCAGUGGCGAAGGCGGCUCACUGGCCCGGUACUGACGCUGAGGUGCGAAAGCGUGGGGAGCAAACAGG
RNAcentral lists this ribosomal RNA (253 nucleotides) under uncultured bacterium. RNAcentral's name for it is "partial 16S ribosomal RNA". It matches the Rfam family "Bacterial small subunit ribosomal RNA", at positions 524 to 776 of the family's 1533-position model. The record is from RNAcentral.